Molecule: ribosomal RNA, 326 nt
Filed under: uncultured eukaryote
Lineage: Eukaryota
Description: SSU rRNA
Rfam family: Eukaryotic small subunit ribosomal RNA
Source: RNAcentral
AGCUCCAACAGCGUAUAUUAAAGUUGCUGCAGUUAAAACGCUCGUAGUUGUUGUCCAACUGUACGUCGAACUUCGUCAGAAGUGAGUCUUCACAGUUUAGCGGGAUUUUACAUUCUGCCAAAACCUUGAGGAAAGAUUAGUGUUCCAAGCAGUCCCACUUUGUCCUCCCCAGCAUGGUAUUUAACCUAUUCGAAGGAGAUCAUUGCCAAAUCUUCAUCAUACAAAAUAGAAAUUCAAGGGGGUAUACGUAUUUUAAUGUCAGAGGUGAAAUUCCUGGAUUAUUAAAAGACGAACAAUUGCGAAAGCAUUCGCCAAGCGACUUUUCU